UUUGCUGACGAGUGGCGGACGGGUGAGUAAUGUCUGGGAAACUGCCUGAUGGAGGGGGAUAACUACUGGAAACGGUAGCUAAUACCGCAUAACGUCGCAAGACCAAAGAGGGGGACCUUCGGGCCUCUUGCCAUCGGAUGUGCCCAGAUGGGAUUAGCCUAGUAGGUGGGGUAACGGCUUCACCCCUAGGCGACGAUCCCCCCCUUAGAAGGUAUUAGCUAACCGUUUCCAGUAGUUAUCCCCCUCCAUUCAGGCAGUCCCUGA
Molecule: ribosomal RNA, 264 nt
Filed under: Escherichia coli
Lineage: Bacteria; Pseudomonadati; Pseudomonadota; Gammaproteobacteria; Enterobacterales; Enterobacteriaceae
Description: partial 16S ribosomal RNA
Rfam family: Bacterial small subunit ribosomal RNA
Source: RNAcentral